Molecule: transfer RNA, 73 nt
Filed under: Camelimonas lactis
Lineage: Bacteria; Pseudomonadati; Pseudomonadota; Alphaproteobacteria; Hyphomicrobiales; Chelatococcaceae
Rfam family: tRNA
About the family: Transfer RNA (tRNA) molecules are approximately 80 nucleotides in length. Their secondary structure includes four short double-helical elements and three loops (D, anti-codon, and T loops).
Source: Rfam by way of RNAcentral
GCCGCAGUAGCUCAGUCGGUAGAGCGGCGCAUUCGUAAUGCGUAGGUCGGGGGUUCGAAUCCCUUCUGCGGCA